Molecule: long non-coding RNA, 1659 nt
Filed under: Sus scrofa (pig)
Lineage: Eukaryota; Metazoa; Chordata; Mammalia; Artiodactyla; Suidae
Description: lncRNA (ENSSSCG00015002445.1)
Source: RNAcentral
UUUUUUUUUUUUUAAUCUUUAUUAGGGCCGCACCUGCAGCAUAUGGAGGUUCCCAGGCUAGAGGUCAAAUCGGAGCUAUAGUCACUGGCCUACUCCACAGCCACAGCAAUGCGGAAUCCGAGCCUCAUCUGUGACCUACACCACAGCUCACGGCAACACCAGAGUCUUAACCCACUGAGCAAGGCCAGGGACUGAACCUGCACCCUAUGGAUACUAGUCAGAUUCUCUUUUACUGAGCCACAGUGGGAACUCCUGUUUUCAUAUUCUUUGGCCCCAGAGAGAGUAAGGACUUGAUGAGGUUGGCAAGAUGCUCAUAUAAAUCCAAAGGAAAAAUCUGAAGACCUCUCCCCACAAAAAGGGCAAGGCAAUCAUAAUAAGACUCUAAAGAAACAUAAUCAUGGUACAAUAUAUGGCUCAACUGAAAAUAACAUGUAUUCACCAUGAAAAUAGUAAACAUUGAUUCCACUUAAAAGUGUGCUAUAACUGUACUGGAAGGUAACAGGAUAAGAGAAAUAAGAACAGAGAAGGUGUUUUACAGGGCUGAGUCUUCAUCCUCCAAUAGGAUGUCAAGAAGGAAGUCUAACCCUCAAAAUAAAGAAACUGCAGUAUAAGAGCUCCCGUCAUGGCUCAGUGGUAUCGAAUCCGACUAGGAACCAUGAGGUUGCAGGUUCGAUCCCUGGCCUUGCUCAAUGGGUUAAGGAUCCGGGGUUGCUGUGAGCUAUGGUGUAGGUCGCAGACUCAGCUCAGAUCCUGCAUUGCUGUGGCUCUGGCGUAGGCUGGUGGCUACAGCUCCAAUUGGACCUCAAGCCUGGGAACCUCCAUGUGCCGCAGGAAGCGGCUCUAGAAAAGGCAAAAAGACAAGAAAAAAAAAGAAACUGCAGCAUAAAGAUGUGCUCAUUGGAAGUUUACUUAUAUAUCAUGAAAUUUGAAAGUAAUGAGUAAUUAUUAAGAUGCAGUAUGAUUUAGAAAUAUACACAUAAAUAGUACAACAAAAAAUAAGACAUAGAAGCUGAGAUCCUUAACCCACUGAGCCACCAGGGAACUCCUGAAGAAUAUUUUUUGUUAAUUUUAAUUUCAAGUUUCUUUUUCUUUUUUUUCCCCAUCUUUUUAUAGCCACACCCACAACAUAUGGAAGUUUCCUGGGCCAGGGGUCAAAUAGGAGCCACAGCAACACCAGAUCUGAGCUCCAUCUGUGACUUUCACCACAGUUUGCAGCAUGACAGAUCCUUAACCCAUUAAGCAAGGCCAGAGAUCUGAACCCACAUGCUCACAGAGACGACGUUGGGUUCUUAACCCAUUGAACCACAAUGAGAACUCAAUUUCAAGUUUUUUUCUUUAAGCAACAGAUAUACAAAAAGCUAGCCAACAUCUUAACGAUAAGAAUGUGUUUGAUGGUCUCAUAAAACAGCUAUUUCGCAAUACAUUUCAGAAAUUGCAGUACAGUUCAUGUCUUUCUUUCUUUAGGAUUCUUUUCCAGUGACUUUCUAAUGUCCCUCAGUCAAAACGCUUUAAACCCACAAAUGCACCAGGAACAAGUUCUAUUUCUCAUCUCUAUGGUCACUGGACUACCAGUUUACUUUAAAUCUACUGCUUAAACUCAGAAAUAUAUAGUACCACAGGGGAGUUGGAAACAGAAAUUAUGCCAGAAAGGAGCGAGAA